GCUCGUGUGGCUCAAUGGAUAGAGCGUCGGCCUUCGAACUGAAGGGUCCCGGGUUCGAUUCUGGUCAAGGGCA
RNAcentral lists this transfer RNA (73 nucleotides) under Myotis brandtii (Brandt's bat). It matches the Rfam family "tRNA". From Rfam's summary of the family: Transfer RNA (tRNA) molecules are approximately 80 nucleotides in length. Lineage: Eukaryota; Metazoa; Chordata; Mammalia; Chiroptera; Vespertilionidae. The record is from Rfam by way of RNAcentral.